UUAGCCCCUUUUCUUCCUCUAAAAUAAACGUCUAUUUGUUUUUUUUUCUUUUUCGAAAUUAUAAAAAAAAAAUUCUCGAGUGAAGAGAUCAUUUUGCAAAUUUGUUGUAAUGAGAAAAAAUAUUUUGUGUGGUCUGUCAGACAACCGUGUGACCACCCCACCGCAGUUGAUACGGCGAGAACGAUCCUCCACUGCCACAGAUGGAAACCUCCAAGGAGGACUCGAUCUGGACCAUUAAUCACGCUCUGAUCACACGGUCAUGAUUCAUCAACCAGACUGCGGUUCCUGUCUCCUUAGAACUCAAGGAUACAGUUGUACGAGCCUAUAGAACAGAUCCUGUUCAAGUAAGGUCGUGCUCUAUUCUUUCACUCUUUGAUUAUAUGAACGCUCGUGUCUUGCUAAGAACAAGCGAUGUAGGACUAACUUUGCUUCCCUUGAACCUCAUCGGUUACUCUCUCUCUUUCUGGAAUUGUAUUUAUUGAUUUAAGAUCCCCCACCCAAUAUAUAUGUCAAUAAUGAAAUGAUGGAGAUAGUAAUGUUUUAUAAAAUGAUGUUGUAUUUUUGGUGCAUUAUCAGGUAAAUAGCAUGAGAAAGAUUGUACACCAGUUAAAAUUGCUGUAGAAAACUUGACUGGUGGUCCUAAACCUUUCUCGUCAUUUCUCAUAUCAUAUUAUUAAUAACCUUAAUUGUCGCAUUGUUCCAGCCUAUAAGAACUGCAUAAUCAUUAUUUGUCUCCUGUUCUUAUCAGUUUAAUAUCUGAUACAUGGACUAAUAGUCCAUUUGAAUUAAAUCAAUUUUUAUAGGGAGAGACCAGAGAGUCCAUAGUGGUAGUUCUCAUGUGUCACCUUUGUCUUGCACUAUAGCAUAGUUUGGUACAUUCAUCCCACCCAAAUCAGUUCAAAUUAUUCUUCGAUGUUAGAUUAGCAUUUAAGAAUUCAAAAAAUGGUGUUGAUGGAUUAUAGGGUUCUGUUGUGACAGAAUACAAAGUGUGACCCAUUGAUGCUUUGUUAUUAUUCACAUUAGGUUCUUUAGUAGAAGAUCAAUCUUCAAUCUUAUGUAUGAACAAUUCUGUUAUGAAAUUCUACCUAAAAUUAAAGCUUACAAUGGUGGCAUAUAUCUAUCUGAAAUAUCAAAACAAAUUAAUUGAAUGCUCAAUUCAGUUUUAUGGUUGAUCUUGAAUAUUGAUGCUAGACUGUUAUACUGUUAUAACAGGAACAAAUGGAAACCUGAAAGCGAGUGAAUCUGGGCCAUUAAUCACACUCUGAUAACACGGUCUUGGUUCAUCGACCAUGUCUUUGGUUCCUUAAAACUCAAGGAUAAGCGGUUAAAGCAUAUAGAACUGAUCUUUUUUUCCAACUAUCAUGAAUUAAGAUGUGAACCCCAUACACUCAACUUGCACAAGUGGAAGGAGAUCAUAACUGAGUCCCUGAGAUACUAGUGAAUUUAUUAAUGAAUGUAUGUAGUUACACAAGAUAGGUCUUCACAUUUUCUUUAUAGUUUUUUUCAUAUGAAAUAAACCAAUGAUUCCCAUAUCGUGUAUACUUUUGUGCUUGUGAAACCUUAUAUAUAUAUAUAUAUAUAUUCUUGUUUCCAAA
Molecule: long non-coding RNA, 1595 nt
Organism: Arachis stenosperma
Lineage: Eukaryota; Viridiplantae; Streptophyta; Magnoliopsida; Fabales; Fabaceae
Exons: 2
Source: RefSeq, a predicted model, not a curated record